GACGAACGCUGGCGGCGUGCUUAACACAUGCAAGUCGAACGGGAAGGCCCUUCGGGGUACACGAGUGGCGAACGGGUGAGUAACACGUGGGUGAUCUGCCCUGCACUUCGGGAUAAGCCUGGGAAACUGGGUCUAAUACCGGAUAGGACCACUGCCUGCAUGGGUGGUGGUGGAAAGCUUUUGCGGUGUGGGAUGGGCCCGCGGCCUAUCAGCUUGUUGGUGGGGUGAUGGCCUACCAAGGCGACGACGGGUAGCCGGCCUGAGAGGGUGACCGGCCACACUGGGACUGAGAGACGGCCCAGACUCCGACGGGAGGCAGCAGUGGGGGAUAUUGCACAAUGGGCGCAAGCCUGAUGCAGCGACGCCGCGUGAGGGAUGACGGCCUUCGGGUUGUAAACCUCUUUCAGCACCGACGAAGCGCAAGUGACGGUAGGUGCAGAAGAAGGACCGGCCAACUACGUGCCAGCCGCCGCCGUAA
RNAcentral lists this ribosomal RNA (478 nucleotides) under uncultured bacterium. RNAcentral describes it as "partial 16S ribosomal RNA". It matches the Rfam family "Bacterial small subunit ribosomal RNA", at positions 28 to 523 of the family's 1533-position model. The record is from RNAcentral.